AAGUCGUAACAAGGUCUCCGUAGGUGAACCUGCGGAGGGAUCAUUAACAAAACUGGCAGCUUAUUGCUAAUUGUGUUGACAGUUCAUGGCGUGCAGCGAAUCUGGUGUGUGUGUGUCAAUGACGUCAUUUACGUGACGUGAUUCGCACCUGCGUCAUUUUGUGGCACGGAUGGCUGGUUUCAUGUUUCUACAUGUACAUUGCAACAACCACCAACAAAGAACAAAACAACAAGAAAAACAACUUUUAACAAUGGAUCUCUUGGCUCUU
RNAcentral lists this unclassified non-coding RNA (268 nucleotides) under fungal sp. Its description in RNAcentral is "partial internal transcribed spacer region". The stretch from base 1 to 46 matches the Rfam family "Eukaryotic small subunit ribosomal RNA", at positions 1786 to 1831 of the family's 1831-position model. Lineage: Eukaryota; Fungi. The record is from RNAcentral.